Molecule: ribosomal RNA, 385 nt
Filed under: uncultured bacterium
Lineage: Bacteria
Description: bacterial SSU rRNA
Rfam family: Bacterial small subunit ribosomal RNA
Source: RNAcentral
AUUGAACGCUGGCGGAAUGCUUUACACAUGCAAGUCGAGCGGCAGCGCGGGGCAACCUGGCGGCGAGCGGCGAACGGGUGAGUAAUGCAUCGGAACGUACCCCGUCGUGGGGGAUAACUACCCGAAAGGGUAGCUAAUACCGCAUGCGACCUGAGGGUGAAAGCGGGGGACCGAAAGGCCUCGCGCGAUGGGAGCGGCCGAUGCCGGAUUAGCUAGUUGGUAGGGUAAAGGCCUACCAAGGCGACGAUCCGUAGCUGGUCUGAGAGGACGACCAGCCACACUGGAACUGAGACACGGUCCAGACUCCUACGGGAGGCAGCAGUGGGGAAUUUUGGACAAUGGGCGAAAGCCUGAUCCAGCCAUUCCGCGUGAGUGAAGAAGGCCU